RNAcentral lists this ribosomal RNA (422 nucleotides) under uncultured bacterium. Its description in RNAcentral is "bacterial SSU rRNA". It matches the Rfam family "Bacterial small subunit ribosomal RNA", at positions 355 to 774 of the family's 1533-position model. The record is from RNAcentral.
UGAGGAAUAUUGGGCAAUGCCCGCAAGGGUGACCCAGCAACGCCGCGUGGAGGAUGAAUGUCGUAGGAUUGUAAACUCCUGUUAGAGGGGAAGAAUAGUACCGGUUGGACCGGUAUAUGACUGUACCCUCAGAGAAAGCCCCGGCUAACUACGUGCCAGCAGCCGCGGUAAUACGGAGGGUGCAAGCGUUAAUCGGAAUCACUGGGCGUAAAGCGCGCGUAGGCCGUCUUUUAAGUCGGACGUGAAAGCCCUCGGCUCAACCGGGGAACUGCGUUCGAUACUGGGAGACUUGAGUCCUGGAGAGGGUGGCGGAAUUCCGGGUGUAGGAGUGAAAUCCGUAGAUAUCCGGAGGAACACCGGUGGCGAAGGCGGCCACCUGGACAGGUACUGACGCUGAGGCGCGAAAGCGUGGGGAGCAAACA